Non-coding RNA from Phyllopteryx taeniolatus (common seadragon), 406 nucleotides. Lineage: Eukaryota; Metazoa; Chordata; Actinopteri; Syngnathiformes; Syngnathidae. The record is from the annotation of a RefSeq genome assembly.
CAGAAAUUCAUUCAGCAUGUUGCUGUGUGCUUGGUCGCUGCUCGUCAUCACUGUGGCAGGCGCCAGCGGUGACCAGCUCGAGGCAGUCACGGGCGAAGUGUUGGCGUCAGAAGGCAAACAGGUGACACUGUCGUACGUUUACGCCACAGGGCUGACUGGUGCUGAUUAUUUCUUCUGGUACCAACAACUUCCUGGACAAGCGCCACACUUCCUGCUUUCACACUUGGGAACCGGCACCCCGUUAAGCGCCAAGCCAGGAAUGUCGGCGAGCGUGGGAAGUGACAGGAGACGAGUGCACCUGCACAUCGAGGAUGUGACAAUUGAGCACUCUGCGGUGUACUACAGUGCCGUGAUGCCGCACAGAAACGGUGAGCAAACGGUGCACCAGCCGGCGGGCACUCAGUAA